Molecule: long non-coding RNA, 794 nt
Organism: Talpa occidentalis (Iberian mole)
Lineage: Eukaryota; Metazoa; Chordata; Mammalia; Eulipotyphla; Talpidae
Exons: 4
Source: RefSeq, a predicted model, not a curated record
UCUGAGGAGCAACUGCCACAACUGCCUGUGGUGGAGCAGCAGGUGGAAAACACCACUGUCCUGCAGCUCCCAUCCCUGAGACAGUUGCAUUCCAGUAACAGUUUGUACCAAAUCACUUCAAACUUAGCAGCUAAACCACAAAGAUCUGGCAUCUGUCACAGUCUCUGUCGGGGAGGCAGCAGGAGGGGCCUCACUCAGAGGCUCCUGCUAUGAGUCCCACGAGGCUGCGAUGGGGACAAGAUGUUUGCGGAUCUGAACGGUCAUGAUCAGCAUGGAAGGACCUGCCUCAGAGCUCAUGCUUGUGACUCCUGGAGAAAACCCUCAGAGUUAUUUAUUUAUUUAUACAAGAACCAGGGCACAAGCCAGAUGCGUGGGAGGGUGAGAGGAUUCACCAGAGACAGACUGGGGAACAGAGGAUGAGCAGCCCCACACCAUGACCCGCUGCCAGGAACUUUCAGAAAGAGGCUGGAGAAGGACAGACCUUGGGGCCCUCAAGAGACAGCUCAGGCCUGGAGGCCAGAAGACCCUGGAGCCAGGCCUGCCCAGUCCUCAGGGGAAUCCAGCCCAGACUCCAUGUCAGGCCCAGUGUCUUUGUUUUCAAAAAGAAGUGCACAGUAUUCAGAAAAAAGAAUAAUUGACCAAGUCUACAUCAAAAAGGGUAAGUUUGCAUUUUUGAUUUUUCUUGUUUUUCAUCAUUAGCGCUUGCCUAAGAAAGAAACUUGGUUUAUGGGAUUAUUACAAUUAUCAACUCUGGAAUUAAUUUAAAAUUCCAAUCCUAAGAAAAACUAGCAGCU